Molecule: transfer RNA, 66 nt
Filed under: Scolytinae sp. BMNH 1040331
Lineage: Eukaryota; Metazoa; Arthropoda; Insecta; Coleoptera; Curculionidae
Description: tRNA-His
Source: RNAcentral
GCUAAUAUAGUUUAAUAUAGAAUAUUAAUUUGUGGGAUUAAUGGUGUAGUAAUAUUGCUUUUAGCA